CUCUUGUUGGUGCACCGGAAGACGCGUGGGAAAUCGAUUGCCUUUGAUUGAUUACCAUGCUUGCCUGAAAAUUAUAUGGAUCUAGGUUCAGAGAUCUAUCGUCGUCCUCUUCCUCAAGGUCACAGGAAAAGUACUCGAAUUGUUCUAUCAGACUAUAAGAAAAUCUAAUGAAUAAGAGGAGUAGUUUGAUUACCUGCGACUAAAGUUGAUAUUCUUCUUGAAAAUAAACGACGAUCAAGACGACGACGAUUAAAACAACGAUGAAGAAAACAAGACGUCAUGUCGGCCGCCCCCACGAUAUUAAGCUCGCCUACGAUAUUUUACAAGCAAGCUUCCUUUUAUGGGAAUACGAUUAUGACAUUUUAAACAACGAUGAGGCAUGAUAAAAUAACUUAGUGUCAAUAUAAGUUUAUAAUAAUAUCGUUUAGAAACAAAAAUUAUUCAAUCUCUUUCUCAACAGAAAAAGAAAACAAAAAGUAUCUCAUCUAUAAUAUAAUCACAAAACACACACACACCUUUAUUAAUUUUAUUAGAAAAUUUUGAUGAGAUAAAUAAUAACGAGGAUAAUAUAUAUUUAAAAUAAAAAAUAAAAGGGGAACAAAAAUGAAUAAUCUUUGUAAUCACUGGUCAAACAAGGAACACUUUUUAAAUACAAUGCUACCCCAAACUUUCGAUUAAUCUUGUAAGCAACGUGACGUAUUGUAACUUACCCUCAAUGUUUCGCCAUGACAGUUGUUCAAAAGGGGAAACAUUAGUUGCUAUAGAAACCAUCACAAUUCGAUGGGAAGGGAGAAGAACUGUUAUUUGUUUUGUAUUAUCUGAUUAAUUUAUUAAGUCGAUAUUUAUUUGUUUUUCUUUUUUUUUUUGUAUUUUAUUUUUUUAAUAUAUUAAUCUUCAUCAUAAUUAAUAUUUUUCUUGUUCAUAAACAUAGAAAGAUCGUAGAAUCAAAAAAAUGUAUUUUAAUAUAAGGAGAGAUGAUGAUGAUAAUAGGCUUGCUUGUUUUUGUUUUAGUAGGUAAUAGUAUAAUACGUUGCAAAAAGGUUUUUAAUAAUUAAUCGUAGGAAAUAGAAUAAUUAAAAAUGACAAUGAUUAUAGUCUACACAUAUCAUUUAUUAUUCCUUUUCUUUACACAUCAGUGAUUCUACGAUCGUUGGUCCUCGAUCGAUGAUCUCUAAUAACUCCUUCAAUCAUUUUGUACGUGGAUCGAGUUAUUAUUAUAUCAAUGAAAAUGAUGAAAAUGAUGAAAACCGAAUAAUGAAUUAUACGGGGUGUCCCAAUUUCUUAUAGAGUCAAAUUUUACCAAUGUAUUAUUCUACGUGGG
Long non-coding RNA from Polistes canadensis, 1321 nucleotides. RefSeq lists it as uncharacterized. NCBI's taxonomy places the organism in Eukaryota, Metazoa, Arthropoda, Insecta, Hymenoptera, Vespidae. The transcript is spliced from 2 exons. The record is from RefSeq and is a predicted model, not a curated record.